AUACGUAGGUGGCAAGCGUUGUCCGGAUUUACUGGGUGUAAAGGGUGCGUAGGCGGGGCAGCAAGUUGGAUGUGAAAUCCUCGGGCUCAACUCGAGAACUGCAUUCAAAACUGUUGCUCUUGAGUGCAGUAGAGGCAAGCGGAAUUCCCGGUGUAGCGGUGAAAUGCGCAGAGAUCGGGAGGAACACCAGUGGCGAAGGCGGCUUGCUGGGCUGUUACUGACGCUGAGGCACGAAAGCAUGGGGAGCAAACAGGAUUAGAUACCCUGGUAGUCCACGCUGUAAACGAUGAAUACUAGGUGUAGGGGGUAUCAACUCCCUCUGUGCCGCAGCAAACGCAAUAAGUAUUCCGCCUGGGGAGUACGGCCGCAAGGUUGAAACUCAAAUGAAUUGACGGGG
RNAcentral lists this ribosomal RNA (397 nucleotides) under uncultured bacterium. Its description in RNAcentral is "partial 16S ribosomal RNA". It matches the Rfam family "Bacterial small subunit ribosomal RNA", at positions 523 to 918 of the family's 1533-position model. The record is from RNAcentral.